UCAAGUAAUUAAGUGCAUGUGGUGGAUGCCUUGGCAGUCAGAGGCGAUGAAAGACGUGAUAGCCUGCGAAAAGCUCCGGGGAGGCGGCAAAUAUCCUUUGAUCCGGAGAUGUCUGAAUGGGGGAACCCACCUACUUUAAGGUAGGUAUUGCAACAUGAAUACAUAGUGUUGCAAGGCGAACGAGGGGAAGUGAAACAUCUCAGUACCCUUAGGAAAAGAAAUCAAUUGAGAUUCCCUCAGUAGCGGCGAGCGAACGGGGAUCAGCCCAUUAAGUUAUGUGUGUUUUAGUGGAACGCUCUGGGAAGUGCGAACGUAGAGGGUGAUAUUCCCGUACACGAAAGGGCACACAUAAUGAUGACGAGUAGGGCGAGGCACGUGAAACCUUGUCUGAAUAUGGGGGGACCAUCCUCCAAGGCUAAAUACUCCUGACUGACCGAUAGUGAACCAGUACCGUGAGGGAAAGGCGAAAAGAACCCCUGUGAGGGGAGUGAAAUAGAUCCUGAAACCGCAUGCAUACAAGCAGUGGGAGCACCUUCGUGGUGUGACUGCGUACCUUUUGUAUAAUGGGUCAGCGACUUAUAUUCAGUAGCRAGGUUAACCGUAUAGGGGAGCCGUAGAGAAAUCGAGUCUUAAUAGGGCGUUUAGUUGCUGGGUAUAGACCCGAAACCAGGCGAUCUAUCCAUGAGCAGGUUGAAGGUUGGGUAACACUAACUGGAGGACCGAACCCACUGUCGUUGAAAAGCCAGGGGAUGACUUGUGGAUAGGGGUGAAAGGCUAAUCAAGCCUGGUGAUAGCUGGUUCUCCCCGAAAGCUAUUUAGGUAGCGCCUCGGACGAAUACCAUAGGGGGUAGAGCACUGUUUCGGCUAGGGGGUCAUCCCGACUUACCAAACCGAUGCAAACUCCGAAUACCUAUGAGUACUAUCCGGGAGACAGACUGCGGGUGCUAACGUCCGUAGUCAAGAGGAAAACAAUCCAGACCGCCAGCUAAGGCCCCAAAAUCAUAGUUAAGUGGGAAACGAUGUGGGAAGGCAUAGACAGCUAGGAGGUUGGCUUAGAAGCAGCCACCCUUUAAAGAAAGCGUAAUAGCUCACUAGUCGAGUCGGCCUGCGCGGAAGAUGUAACGGGGCUAAAACUAUGUGCCGAAGCUGCGGAUGUAUACUUUGUAUACGUGGUAGGGGAGCGUUCUGUAAGCCGAUGAAGGUGURUUGAGAAGYAUGCUGGAGGUAUCAGAAGUGCGAAUGCUGACGUGAGUAACGACAAAACGGGUGAAAAACCCGUUCGCCGAAAGACCAAGGGUUCCAGUCCAACGUUAAUCGGGGCUGGGUGAGUCGACCCCUAAGGCGAGGCCGAAAGGCGUAGUCGAUGGGAAAAUGGUUAAUAUUCCAUUACUUCUGUGUAAUGCGAUGAGAGGACGGAGAAGGCUAAAUCAGCCUGGCGUUGGUUGUCCAGGUGAAAGGAUGUAGGCAUGUAUCUUAGGCAAAUCCGGGGUACUCUAUGCUGAGAUCUGAUAGCAAGCUGUACUUGUACAGCGAAGUGGUUGAUGCCAUGCUUCCAGGAAAAGUCUCUAAGCUUCAGUUACACAGGAAUCGUACCCGAAACCGACACAGGUGGUCAGGUCGAGUAGACCAAGGCGCUUGAGAGAACUCUGCUGAAGGAACUAGGCAAAAUGGUACCGUAACUUCGGGAGAAGGUACGCUGUUGUUGGUGAUGGAACUCGCUUCCUGAGCUGACGACAGCCGCAGAAACCAGGCCGCUGCAACUGUUUAUUAAAAACAUAGCACUCUGCAAACACGAAAGUGGACGUAUAGGGUGUGAUGCCUGCCCGGUGCUGGAAGGUUAAUUGAUGGGGUUAGCGUAAGCGAAGCUCUUGAUCGAAGCCCCAGUAAACGGCGGCCGUAACUAUAACGGUCCUAAGGUAGCGAAAUUCCUUGUCGGGUAAGUUCCGACCUGCACGAAUGGCAUAAUGAUGGCGGCGCUGUCUCCAGCAGAGGCUCAGUGAAAUCGAAAUCGCUGUGAAGAUGCAGUGUACCCGCGGCUAGACGGAAAGACCCCGUGAACCUUUACUGCAGCUUGACACUGAACUUUGACCUUACUUGUGUAGGAUAGGUGGGAGGCUUUGAAGCUGGAACGCUAGUUCCAGUGGAGCCGUCCUUGAAAUACCACCCUGGUAAUGUUGAGGUUCUAACUCUGUCCCGUGAUCCGGGACGAGGACCGUGUCUGGUGGGUAGUUUGACUGGGGCGGUCUCCUCCUAAAGAGUAACGGAGGAGUACGAAGGUGCGCUCAGCGUGGUCGGAAAUCACGCGUAGAGUAUAAAGGCAAAAGCGCGCUUAACUGCGAGACCCACAAGUCGAGCAGGUACGAAAGUAGGUCUUAGUGAUCCGGUGGUUCUGUAUGGAAGGGCCAUCGCUCAACGGAUAAAAGGUACUCUGGGGAUAACAGGCUGAUACCGCCCAAGAGUUCAUAUCGACGGCGGUGUUUGGCACCUCGAUGUCGGCUCAUCUCAUCCUGGGGCUGAAGCAGGUCCCAAGGGUAUGGCUGUUCGCCAUUUAAAGAGGUACGCGAGCUGGGUUUAGAACGUCGUGAGACAGUUCGGUCCCUAUCUACCGUGGGCGCUGGAAAUUUGAGAGGAUCUGCUCCUAGUACGAGAGGACCAGAGUGGACGAACCUCUGGUGUACCGGUUGUGACGCCAGUCGCAUCGCCGGGUAGCUAUGUUCGGAAGGGAUAACCGCUGAAAGCAUCUAAGCGGGAAGCCUACCUCAAGAUAAGAUUUCCCUAGGACUUUAUGUCCUCUAAAGAGCCGUUCGAGACUAGGACGUUGAUAGGUUGGAUGUGGAAGCAUAGUGAUAUGUGAAGCUGACCAAUACUAAUUGCUCGUGAGGCUUGACUAU
RNAcentral lists this ribosomal RNA (2891 nucleotides) under Acinetobacter baumannii. RNAcentral's name for it is "bacterial LSU rRNA". The record is from RNAcentral. Lineage: Bacteria; Pseudomonadati; Pseudomonadota; Gammaproteobacteria; Moraxellales; Moraxellaceae.